RNAcentral lists this ribosomal RNA (803 nucleotides) under uncultured bacterium. Its description in RNAcentral is "bacterial SSU rRNA". It matches the Rfam family "Bacterial small subunit ribosomal RNA", at positions 8 to 916 of the family's 1533-position model. The record is from RNAcentral.
AGAGUUUGAUCCUGGCUCAGGAUGAACGCUAGCGGCAGCUAAUACAUGCAAGUCGAGUGGCGCACGGGUGAGUAACACGUACAUACAUGCCUUUGAGAGGGGGAAAGUACUGGAAACGAAUAAUCCGCCAUAAGGCCUCGAUAUUAAAUUCUCAAAGAUUGGUGUGCGUCUGAUUAGCUAGUUGGUGGGUAACGGCCACCAAGGCGACGAUCAGUAGGGGGCGUGAAGCGUGGCCCCCCACAUGGGUACUGAGACACGGACCCAACUCUACGGGAGGCAGCAGUAAGGAAUAUUGGUCAAUGGGCGAAAGCCUGAACCAGCCAUGCCGCGUGCGGGAAGAAGUUUAGAAUUGUAAACCGCUUUUGAUAGGGAAGAUUUAGACGGUACCUAUCGAAUAAGCACCGGCUAACUCCGUGCCGCAGCCGCGGUAAUACGGAGGGUGCAAGCGUUAUCCGGAAUCACUGGGUUUAAAGGGUACGUAGGCUGCUGUUAAGUCAUUAUUGAAAGGUCUUGCUUAACAAGGACGUGGUAAAGAUACUGGCGGCUAGAAUUAGACAGAGGUUGGCAGAAUUGUCAUGUAGCGGUGAAAUGCAUAGAUAUGACAAGAAUACCGAUAGCGAAGGCAGCUGACUGGGUCUAAAUUGACGCUGAGGUACGAAAGCGUGGGGAUCAAACAGGAUUAGAUACCCUGGUAGUCCACGCCGUAAACGAUGCUAACUGGGUGUAUGUUUGUGCACCGAGGGAAACNANNNAGUUACCACCUGGGAAGUACGCCGGCAAGGUAAACUCAAAGGAAUUGACGG